Molecule: ribosomal RNA, 497 nt
Filed under: uncultured bacterium
Lineage: Bacteria
Description: partial 16S ribosomal RNA
Rfam family: Bacterial small subunit ribosomal RNA
Source: RNAcentral
GAUGAACGCUGGCGGCGUGCCUAAUACAUGCAAGUCGAGCGAACGGACGAGAAGCUUGCUUCUCUGAUGUUAGCGGCGGACGGGUGAGUAACACGUGGAUAACCUACCUAUAAGACUGGGAUAACUUCGGGAAACCGGAACUAAUACCGGAUGAUAUUUUGAACCGCAUGGUUCAAAAGUGAAAGACGGUCUUGCUGCCACUUAUAGAUGGAUCCGCGCUGCAUUAGCUAGUUGGUAAGGUAACGGCUUACCAAGGCAACGAUGCAUAGCCGACCUGAGAGGGUGAUCGGCCACACUGGAACUGAGACACGGUCCAGACUCCUACGGGAGGCAGCAGUAGGGAAUCUUCCGCAAUGGGCGAAAGCCUGACGGAGCAACGCCGCGUGAGUGAUGAAGGUCUUCGGAUCGUAAAACUCUGUUAUUAGGGAAGAACAUAUGUGUAAGUAACUGUGCACAUCUUGACGGUACCUAAUCAGAAAGCCACGGCUAACUACGUG